UGCCCCAUGGCUUAGUUGGUUACGGCGUCCGACUGUUAUCCACCUUGCGACAUCGGAAGAUCGAGAGUUCGAGUCUCUCUGGGGCAG
This is a transfer RNA of Hebeloma cylindrosporum, 87 nucleotides long. It matches the Rfam family "tRNA". From Rfam's summary of the family: Transfer RNA (tRNA) molecules are approximately 80 nucleotides in length. Their secondary structure includes four short double-helical elements and three loops (D, anti-codon, and T loops). The record is from Rfam. NCBI's taxonomy places the organism in Eukaryota, Fungi, Basidiomycota, Agaricomycetes, Agaricales, Hymenogastraceae.